AAAACUGAGAACAGUGACCGGCACCUUGGCUUCUAUAAUUGGAAAAAUCAGCCUUCAGUUCAAAGUGGGCGACCUGUCUGUUCCAUUUAAUGCAUGGGUGGCCAGAGUGCAAGAUGCAUGCAUACUGGGGCUGGAUUUUCUGAAGACCAUUAAGUGUGUAUUGGACCUGGGCAGAGGACUGCUGACACUGCCUGGAGGACACUGUGUACAGCUCACUUCGCCUACCUCAGCUGUGGUUCCUCAGGUGCAGUCAGCAGACACCGUGGACGACAGAGACCCGGCUCAAAACCCUCGACCACCAAUGCUACAGCGACCACCCACAGGCCACAAAUCAGGGCAAGAAACACUAGGGGAGCAUGAGAGGCUGACAGUCUUGAGAGACAUUUGGACCAGGAACUGUGAUGGACUAAACCAACACCAGCAGGAGGAGUUAUGGCAGACUCUGCUGGAUUUCAGAGACAUUUUUGCCCUUAGUGAGAACGAAGUGGGCCUCACACACCUUGUCCAGCAUGACAUUAACACUGGGGACGCGCAACCCCGUAAAAGUGCGCCCCUGUCGGCUCCCGCUGGCACACCAGGAAGCUGCAGACCAAGAGCUGGAAGAGAUGCUGAGAACAGGUAUCAUUGAGCCAUCAGACAGCCCUUGGGCCGCAGCUGUUGUCAUGGUGCCACGGAAGAAGAAUCCACGGAUGCGGUUCUGUGUGGAUUACAGACCGCUGAACAAAGUCACAAAAAAAGACUCCUACCCAAUUCCAAGAGUGGAUGACUGCCUCGGUGCUGUGGCUGGCUCUUCGUGGUUCUCUACACUGGAUUUACGGAGCGGCUAUUGGCAGGCGCCCCUAGCCCCAGAGGCGAGACCUAAAACAGCAUUCUGCACAAACCGAGGGCUCUGGCAGUUCAAGGUCCUCAAUUUCGGCCUCUGUAACGCACCUGCCACCUUUGAAAGACUGAUGGAUAAAGUACUCAAUGGUGUCCCACGUAGCAGGUGCCUGGUGUACCUGGAUGACAUCUUGGUCCACGGCAGUUCUUUCAACACUGCAUUGGAGUCCCUGCGACAAGUGUUGACCAAAAUAGCUGGGGCUGGCCUGAAAUUACACCCGGAUAAAUGUCAUUUCAUGAAGAGAGAGGUGGAGUUUCUGGGCCACAAGCUGGUGGUGGGGGGAAUCAGCACACUGAGUGAAAAAACUGAAGCAAUCAAACGCUGGCCCUCUCCAUCUAACCAGACACAACUGAAGAGUUUCUUAGGACUAGCCUCAUACUAUAGGAAAUUUGUGAGGAAUUUUUCUUCCAUCGGGGCCCCACUUUUCCAACUGCUUCACAAAGACAGAGCAUUCCACUGGACGCAGGAGUGUCAGCAGGCUUUUUCCACCUUAAAGCAGGCACUGACAGAGGCCCCUGUGCUCUCUCCUGCUGACCCCACACUACCUUUUGUGCUCGAUACGGACGCCAGCAAUGUCGGGAUAGGGGCUGUGCUGUCCCAGAUCAGGCCAGACGGGGAGAAGGUCGUCGCCUACUUCAGCCGGGUGCUAAACAAGAGCGAGCGCAGGUACUGUGUCACCAGACGGGAGCUCCUGGCGGUGGUUUGGGCAAUAAGACACUUUAAAUAUUACCUGUGCGGGGUGCCGUUCAAAGUCAGGUCAGACCACGCUGCAUUGCAGUGGUUAAUGUCAUUUAGAGAACCUGAGGGACAGUUAGCUCGCUGGCUAGAAGAGCUACAGUCUUAUGACUUUACUGUGGUUCACAGAGCAGGAGUGCAGCACACUAACGCCGAUGCAUUGUCUCGCCGACCCUGUGCGAAGGUGGGCUGCAGCUACUGUAAAAAGAGAGAGUCAAGAGAAGAGGAGCUCAGCCAGCAGGACUAUAAACCCCAGCUUUUCUGUGGAGCAUUACAGGUGAGAGAUGCUGCUGAGUGGAGGGUUCAGCAGGAGCAAGACGUGGACCUGCAGCCUGUGAUGCAGUGGUUGGCUGAGAGGCAGAGGCCAGCAUGGGAGAAGGUCACAGGGUGCUCCAUCACUUCAAAGGGGCUGUGGUCUAAGUUUGCCUCACUGAGAUUAAAAGACGGGGUGCUGCAGCGGGCGUGGAAGGAGCCAGCUACCGGGGAGGAAAAGUGGCAGACUGUGGUGCCCAAGAACCUGAGAGAGACAGUCAUAAAGUCCUGCCAUGGAAGCACAGGGGUAGGACACUUUGGCAUGACAAAAACACUCCGUCGCCUUCGCCAAGGGUUCUAUUGGGGCCAGCACAGAAGGGACGUGGAGGACUUUUGUCGGCGUUGCGAUACCUGCGCUGCCCACAAAGGGCCACCAGACCAGUCACGCGCCCAGCUGCAACAGCAAUGCUCAGGGGGGCCAAUGGAGAGAAUUGCUAUUGACAUCAUGGGCCCUUUCCCUCACACAGAUAGAGGGAACCGUUAUGUGCUUGCUGCUAUGGACUAUUUUACGAAAUGGCCCGAGGCCUACGCCAUACCAGAUCAGGAAGCAGAGACAGUGGCAGAUGCACUCGUGGAGGGCAUGCUGAGCAGAUUUGGUACAGCAGAGAGUAUACACAGUGACCAAGGGAGGAAUUUUGAAUCAAAGGUAUUCGCAGCCCUGUGUGAACGCCUGGACAUGCAGAAAACACGUACAACUCCCCUGCACCCCCAAAGCGACGGGUUAGUAGAGAGGUUUAACAGGACACUCGCUCAGCAGAUGGCAAUUCUCACAGCUGACCAUCAGCGUGACUGGGAUGCCCACCUCCCUCUCAUUCUAAUGGCUUAUAGAUCAGCAGUGCAGGACUCCACUUUGUGCACCCCUGCUCUACUCAUGCUGGGUAGAGAGAUUCGGACCCCUCCUGAGCUAGCGUUUGGAAGGCCCCCUGACGCCCCAGAAGCGCCCCCGGGUCGGGACUACGCCAAAAAGCUGCAGGACAGGCUGGAGACAGCUCACACCUUCGCGGGGGAGCAACUAGGAAAGGCAGGCAUAAGACAGAAAAGGAAUUAUGACCUGAAAAGCAGAGGAAGACAUUUUCAGGCUGGUGAGCUUGUGUGGGUCUACAGCCCAAAAAGAAAGAGGGGUCGCUGUCCUAAACUGGAUUGCCACUGGGAAGGGCCCUGUUCAGUUUUGGAAAGAGUUGGGGAGGUGGUCUAUAGGGUCCAGGUGCCACCCAGAGGUAGAAAAGUGGCCCUGCACAGAGACAGAUUAGCUCCCUACAGAGGAAAUUCCCUCCCUGCAUUCCAAAGCGGUCCUGGUCCAACUGUGACCCCACUGGCUUGUAGUGACAGUACGCCUGCCUGUGCAGCACCUAACCCAGCCCCACAGGCCCCCAGUGACCCCCAAUCCUGGUCUCCAUCCCUGGAUGGUCUCUUGGUUCCGGACCCACAGUUCACAAGAGACAGUGUGCGGCUGAGGAGGCAAAGAAAGCUGCCUACACGUCUCAGAGACUUUGUUGUCCCCUCAGGGACGAGGGACUUUUUGUUGGGGGGAGCAGUGUAAUGUUCUGAGUUAACCUUGUUCAGUGCCUUUAAGACAGAGUGCAUGCUGAUUGGUGGGCUGUCAGUCACAUGGGACUUCUAGGCAAGUUUAAGGAAGUUAAGGUGUUGUGUUCGGUCUCUUUUUUUCGGCUGAGGACUGAAGCUGGUAACGUUGUGCUGGCGUGGGUUACGGCCAGGACAGUAACCCGUUCUGCGAUUGUGUUCAGCGAAUAAACGUGAGAGCCAAGCCACUGAAGAGUGAUUAUUUCUCAUCAGUAGAAUAUUACAAUAUAUUAUGGGAUAAUAUACUCACAAAAAAUGAGAAAUACGUAAUAAUAGGUGGUAAAAAUUAAAUUAUUUUCAUUGUGAUGUGGAGGAAGAAUUCAGUAAUCUCACAUUCAGUGUGUAACUCUUAUAGAGUGCAAGCUGUUAGGUAGUUUUGGAAGUCUGUCUAAAAAACAAAUACAAAAACAUAAAUAGACUUACUGCAAGUCUUAUAAAGCCGAGGUUCAAGGCUUAAAUGCUUCAUUACUCCAUUUUAAAGUUUUAUGCCAAUACAUAAAAACUUAAAGAACAAUGAAGUUGUGCUGUAAUUGCAACUUUAGAAUAGCCUAGCCGCGCUAGACAACCCACGGCAACGAAUUUAAUUCUCUGUCAGGGUGAGUCUAGUUACCCUCCAUAAGGCUCGAGGCUGGAUUCUCCUAAAACUGGCCGGACCAAUCACCAUGAAGUGUAGAGUCAGAAGGCGGGCGUAACUAAGUGACGACAGAGGCGCGACGAUUCUGACAGAAACAACCGGCGCACAAUAAACGGUUAUCUUUCGACUCGGCUUUGGCCACAGCCCUUAAAGAUUUGAAGCUAAAAUUCAACUUGAAAGAUAAACAAAGGACGGCACUGAAGUGUUUCAUUGAGAAGAAAGACGUAUUUGGACUUAUGCCGAAAGGAUAUGACAAAUCCUUAAUAUACCAGUUGGCUCCGCUGGUUGGGAAGCUAAUGGGACUUAGCCACAAUCCGCCGGCGCUCUAGGAACUACGCCAGCCUAUUCGUUGUACUGAUUGGUUGUAUAUCUACCCAAUUGCUGCAGAGUGAUUUGAAAGACAACCUUUUAACCCGCCUCCCUCCCUGACGAGCGGCCCUAGACCCUUGUGCCUUCAGAAACGUGGGUCUAGCGCGGCUAGGCUAGCUUUAGAAUGUUUUGUCCUCCCUAAAGGCCCUCUUAGAACCAUAUCUCUGGCUGAGCUCUGUAGGACUGGAGAUUGAGGAAUUAAAUGGCAAACAUCACCUGCUCUGGAGAAGGUCAGGAGUUCAUCAUAAGUCACUAUGGGGAUGUGGCUCAGUGAGAAAUGAACCAUCGUUGUCCUCAAAAUCCCAAGUUAGACCUGAAGUCACCUCGCUAGUAGGGCAGGCCUCGGAUCAACAUUUUUGUUUGUUUUGUGAUGUCAAAUCAAACACACAUUCACAUCAGCCUAAGAUGUACAAUCCUGUAAAGUAAUAAGUGCAUACCAUGGAAUUCUCUGACUGUUUCAAUGUAUUCUACAAACACGCAUAAUCCUCUUUGAACUAAUGACACGACAUCUAUUCAAACAAAUGUCACCCAAAUACGCUGACUCUCCAGAAAAGUCAGGCCGAGAAUAGAGUGUUUGAUGCAUAAAGAAAUCUCCAAGAACUGCAGAAUGUCAUCACAGGAUCAGCAGGUAAUACUCACAAGUUGCAAUGUGUCAACAAUCAGAGAGAGCUUUGACUUGCAUUGGAGGCGUGCCAAGAAAAAGGCUUUUGCUCCCCAAAAAUAACAUUAGAGGAAAAACUACAGCUUACCAGUGAACAUAUAGACACAGAUCGGGCCUUUUGGGCCUAAUGUAACCGAACAGACAAAUCACAGAAAGAGUUGUUUGGCCACAGUAACAGUAGACAUUUUUGGCGCUGACCAAAUACAGAUUUUGAGGGGAACAACCUCACACCAACUGUGAAGCACUGCGGUGGAAAUGUUAUGGUUUGGUGUUGUUUUGCUGCCUCAGGGAAGCUGGGCAGCAGCCAGUCACUGAUUUAACUGUGAGUUCUGCAUCAUAUGAAAAGGUGCCCGAGGACAAUGUGAAAGAUGUCCGAAAUAUGAACUGCGAGUUAACCUUUCAACAGCAAAGUGAUCCUAAACACACUAUAGCAAAUCCACCCACAAAUGGCUCAAAAAGAGGAAAUGGAAAGUUAUUGGACACAAACAAAGGCCAAAUUUGAACCAAAGUGGAUUUGAAAUGGGCAGUUUAUGCAAGAAAACCUCAAACAUGUUGCAACUGUAGGAAGUUUGCAAUGGAGAGUUCAGAAAGCUGAUGUCAGAAUCUGGCAGAUAAUUACGCAAAAGCUGUUUCUGCAAAAGGGAUGACGCUUCUGAAGAUAAGAAGAGUAUAAGCUCUAUCGAUAGCCCUAAUUUUGUAGAAUAAAUGGUUGAAAACCUAAUUUUCAUUGUGAUAGGGAUCAAGUGUUUGCUAAUGUAAAAACACACACACAACAGUUUCCAUGACCUUUAUAGUAACAUUAAUACCAGCUGAACACUAGCAUGCACAUCGCCCCUGUAGGAAUAUUAGCAUGGUGACAUUGCAAAAAUGCAAAUAAAUGGCCAUGUUUAUGUAAAAUGGAUUACUUUUAGUGACAAAAUAAAGAAGUACGCUGCAGUUCUAUUUGGCUUCAUGGAGUGGUUUACCAUCCUUCAGUUCAAUGCUUUGGUUUUCUGACCUUUAUAUUUACUGUUUUGAUUUACUCCGUUUUCUGAAGCAGCAGGUAGCUGUUUUCAAUGGAAAAAGAUCUGAUAAACAUGCUGUAGGUCUGCUAACUGGUGAACACAUUACUGAUCUGGAGUUUCUAUGACUGUAAUUUACACUGCUGAUUUAUUAUAUGAUGACAAAAAUUGCAACUUUUAGAAUGAUGAAGUCUGGAAACAACAAUUAGAAAUGUUAAAAACUUUGGGCUCAAUACACCUGGAAGAGUUUAGAUUUUACAAAUGAAAGUUUAGAUAUUCAUUCAGUACACAUUUCAGUAUUUGUGACUAAAUUAGUUUACAAUUGAGAUCCACAAAUCCACAAAUUAGAAAUGAACUAUUUAUCUAAACUAAAUAACUCAGGAUUACCCAAGCAUUUUUUGUAACCUGACUCUCUGGAGAAGAUUUAAAGUAAACCUUUACACCUAUAUAAGGAUAAAUACAUUUUUACAGAAAAUAAAACAACAGUUAAAUGUAAAAAUAAAAUUAGCGAUUCCACAUUUUUAAACAGCCUUUUUUUUUUGGAUUUGAUUUGGAAAGGACUCAUGACUUCAUUACAUUUCCAUGUUUGUCUCAUUUUUGUGUCAAUGGAAAAGUCUUUAAUUGUUCCACAGAAGGUUGCAUCUUUUAUUUUGAAGGCAGACUUGUUGGACACAAUGUUCCAGGUGUAGCCGGGCUGACGCAGGUACAGUCGUGUGUUCAGGUGCAGUUACGUCAUGGCAGUAAAAAAAUGCGGAUCUUGCAGCAGGACCAUUAGUGUAUGUGUCUGCACUUCCCUGGAAUGACCGAUCCCUUUAAGUGAAGCCUUUUGUGAUGGAGGCUUGACAGGAGAAAUCUCUGAAACUUGGCUUAAUGAGGAAGAACGAGUCCUAGACUGUUGGAGCAGAAAGUGUAGACGAGCUCAU
Acanthochromis polyacanthus (spiny chromis) is the source of this 7096-nucleotide RNA transcript. RefSeq lists it as uncharacterized. The record is from RefSeq and is a predicted model, not a curated record. The transcript is spliced from 2 exons. Lineage: Eukaryota; Metazoa; Chordata; Actinopteri; Pomacentridae.